GGGCCAGUAGCUCAGUUGGUAAGAGCGCGGUUCUUAUAAAGCCGAGGUCGGUGGUUCGAGUCCACCCUGGCCCA
Molecule: transfer RNA, 74 nt
Filed under: bacterium
Lineage: Bacteria
Description: tRNA-Ile
Rfam family: tRNA
About the family: Transfer RNA (tRNA) molecules are approximately 80 nucleotides in length.
Source: RNAcentral